GGUGUGUAUCUAUAUGGUGUGUAACUAUGGUGUGUGUGUGUGUUUCUCUGUGGUGUAUACCUAUGGUUUGUAUCUGUCGUUUGUGUGUGCAUAUGGUUUGUAUCUAUAUGUUGUGUGUGAAUCUAUAUGUGUGUAUCUGUGGUGUGUGCGUGUGGGACAGUUUGACCACUGUCCCUGUCUGUUUAACUGCCCGUCAAUAGCGCGCAUUGAUGGAUAGUGCAUGAACAGCAAACCUUCAAGCAUACAAUAUACAUACAAGCUCUUUAUUCAAGCCACAAACAAUCUCCCUCUCACCAUGGCUCGGUACUGCAGACUAAAAGAGUCGCGGUGGGGCUGAGGUGUUUAAAUAUGGUGUCAGGAAACACCUGCUGCCACUGAUUGGCCCAAUUUGGGCCAAACCAUUUUUCCUUGUGUCAAAGGAGGACACUGAACAUUGACAUUGGACAUUAAUGAGCGACAAGCCUAAAUGCACUAGUGAAAAUCACUGAUCUAAAAGUUGAAAUGGACUUUAACAUGCAUGCUGUAUAUUUGAUGAGUUUAUUCAUGGUUGACCUGCAAUAUGCCAAAGUAUUAUAAUCCCCCUGUUGAUUGAGCCUGUCUAGUGGGAGGGGGCAUGGGGUAUAAAAGGGGUGAGCUGCUGACCUUCUGACAGUCUGCUGGAUGCUGUUGCCAGAAGAGGUUGUCUGUGUUGAGCAGGGUGCUCAGCUCUCCACGAGAUGCUAAAUAUCUACUGAGGUUAGAGACUUUUUGAGGUAAAGAGGAGCAUCUCAUCUGAACCUGAUGUCUAUCAUGGAUAUUUAACUGCAGUUCUGUGAGUAUCCCAACUUAACCAUGAAGAUGAACUGCAAACUGUAAGUCAUUAAUAUCUCAUUACUCUUGGGCACAUUGAUGUAUUUUGGCUUCCUGGUGAGUUAACCUGUUACCUCACGGUUGAUCUGCGUAGUAAGGAUGUUUUAUUGGUUCAUGGGUUACUUAGGUGUUUGGUUAAUGUUGGUUUUAAUGAUUUGUUAAAAUGGUUACAGGCUUACAAGUUAUUGUUGUAAGCUGACAUCUGCAGUCUU
Molecule: long non-coding RNA, 1061 nt
Organism: Gadus morhua (Atlantic cod)
Lineage: Eukaryota; Metazoa; Chordata; Actinopteri; Gadiformes; Gadidae
Exons: 3
Source: RefSeq, a predicted model, not a curated record